Liolophura sinensis is the source of this 1314-nucleotide non-coding RNA. Lineage: Eukaryota; Metazoa; Mollusca; Polyplacophora; Chitonida; Chitonidae. The record is from the annotation of a RefSeq genome assembly.
UGAUUAGACCUAUCCUAAAUAGCUAAAAAUUUAUUUAAAUGAUAUUUGUUAAAAAUAUUAAAGUUUUUGCGGGCUAGUAGUUUAAACGAAAGUCAUAGAGAAAACGAAAGUACUGUAAAGGAAAAUAUUAAAUAUAUAUGAUAGUAUAAAUUAAUUUUAGUACCUUUUGCAUUAUGGUUUAACGAGAAAUAAGCUUGUUUUAAUGUUUUCUAGAAAGAAGAAGAGUUAUAUUCAGACGAAUGAGUAGUGUAGCAUAACUAUUUUUAGAUCUGUUUAUGGUAGUGAAACGCUAACGGAUUUUCUGAUAGCUAGUUGGAAGAGAAAAGCAUUUGAGUGCGAUUUAUAAAUGAAAAAUAAAGUGUGAUUUAGCUUGAUUUUUAUUUGUAAGUUUUUGUUUUUUAGGUUGAGCUAAAAAAUUGAUGAAAAUUUAUGGUUAAAUUUAAUGUAAUGUAGGUUUAAUAGUUUCUAUCAUUUUUACGGUUUUAUAACGAAGUUUUAUUAGGAUUGUAUGAUUAAAAUUUUCUGUUUAUAUUUUCCCUUAAUUUGUAAUUAUGUUGAAUUUAAUAUUUAUGUUGAAAUUAGUAUUGGUUUAUUUCUUGCUUGAUGGUUUUGAACUUAAAGCUGAAACUUUUUAUAUAUAUUGAAAUGAGAAAAAGGAACUCGGCAAAUAUGAAUUUCGCCUGUUUAUCAAAAACAUCGCUCUUUGUAAAUAUAAAAUAAGGAGUCGUACCUGCCCGGUGAAAAAUUUAACGGCCGCAGUACCCUGACUGUGCAAAGGUAGCAUAAUCAUUUGCCUUUUAAUUGAAGGCUGGAAUGAAUGGUUUGACGAAAUUCUUCUGUCUCUAUCUUAUUAAAUAGAAUUUAAUUUUUAGGUGAAGAAGCCUGAAUGAAGUCAAAAGACGAAAAGACCCUGUCGAACUUUAGAGUAAUUAUAAAAUUAUAUGCUUUUUAGAAUAAAUGUUUUUUAGAAUUUCUCUUUUGUUGGGGUGACAGAAGAACAGAUAAAGCUUCUUUUAGUUGAGGAAACUUAUAUGUUGAAAAGAUCCAUAAAAAUUUAUGAUAGUAAGAUAAGUUACCGCAGGGAUAACAGCGUUAUUUUUCUGGAGAGUUCAAAUUGAAGGAAAAGAUUGCGACCUCGAUGUUGGAUUGGAAUACCUAAUAGGCGGAGAAGCUUGUUGUUGGGGGUCUGUUCGACCUUUAAAUUUCCACAUGAUCUGAGUUCAAACCGGUGUAAGCCAGGUUGGUUUCUAUCUUUGAUAAAAUAUUAUUGGUUUUAGUACGAAAGGAUUAAGCUGAUAAAAAUUUUUUAUAGAU